UACGUAGGGUGCAAGCGUUGUCCGGAAUUAUUGGGCGUAAAGAGCUCGUAGGCGGUCUGUCGCGUCGGAUGUGAAAACCCAGGGCUCAACCCUGGGCCUGCAUUCGAUACGGGCAGACUAGAGUUCGGUAGGGGAGAUUGGAAUUCCUGGUGUAGCGGUGAAAUGCGCAGAUAUCAGGAGGAACACCGGUGGCGAAGGCGGUUCUCUGGGCCUGUACUGACGCUGAGGAACGAAAGCGUGGGGAGCGAACAGG
RNAcentral lists this ribosomal RNA (253 nucleotides) under uncultured bacterium. RNAcentral's name for it is "partial 16S ribosomal RNA". It matches the Rfam family "Bacterial small subunit ribosomal RNA", at positions 524 to 776 of the family's 1533-position model. The record is from RNAcentral.